UGAAGGGUUUGAUCCUGGCUCAGAAUGAACGUUGGCGGCGUGGAUUAGGCAUGCAAGUCGCGCGAGAAGUCUUUUGCUUGCAUUAGACGGACAGCGGCGAAAGGGAGAGUAAUACGUGGAUUACCUACCCCAGGGUUCGGGAUAGCUGCGGGAAACUGCAGGUAAUACCGAAUAACAUCUCUGGAUCAAAGGUGCGAUUCCGCCUUGGGACGGAUCCACGUCCUAUUAGCUUGUUGGUGGGGUAACGGCCUACCAAGGCGACGAUGGGUACCGGGCGUGAGAGCGUGACCCGGCUCACUGGGACUGAGACACUGCCCAGACACCUACGGGUGGCUGCAGUCGAGAAUCUUCGGCAAUGGACGAAAGUCUGACCGAGCGACGCCGCGUGCGGGAUGAAGGCCUUCGGGUUGUAAACCGCUGUCAGUUGGGAGGAAAUCACAUGGGGUUCUCUCCAUGUGUUGACCUAUCUUCAGAGGAAGGACGGGCUAAGUUCGUGCCAGCAGCCGCGGUAAGACGAACCGUCCAAACG
This 529-nucleotide ribosomal RNA is filed under the name Planctomycetaceae bacterium. RNAcentral describes it as "bacterial SSU rRNA". It matches the Rfam family "Bacterial small subunit ribosomal RNA", at positions 1 to 540 of the family's 1533-position model. Lineage: Bacteria; Pseudomonadati; Planctomycetota; Planctomycetia; Planctomycetales; Planctomycetaceae. The record is from RNAcentral.